This is a long non-coding RNA of Oncorhynchus mykiss (rainbow trout), 3609 nucleotides long. NCBI's taxonomy places the organism in Eukaryota, Metazoa, Chordata, Actinopteri, Salmoniformes, Salmonidae. The record is from Ensembl.
AUGCCUCCGGGGGUUAAUGCCCCCUGGGUUCCCCCUCCCAACACCCAGCCCCACUCGCUGGGUCCCCCGCCCCUCCUACCCUCCGGACCCCCCCUCUCCAAGGAGGACUUCUACAGACAGAGGAGACUCCAACAGGAACAGGUAACGUCCAAGCUGGAUGAGUUCACUAAAGACUUUGCCAAAGAGCUGAUGGAAUACAGACCUGCUCCCAAGAGACGGAGACGCUCCUACUCCAGGUCUCGUUCCUACAGCCGUUCUCCGUUCAGCCGUUCCCCCUACUCCCGAUCUCCUCGCUCCCGCUCCAGGUCUUACUCGUACACCCCCAGCCGCUCCCGCUCCCGUUCCAGGUCUUACGGACGCUCCCCCUUCUCCAGACGCAACGGAGGCCGGGGAGGACGCAGCCGCUCCUACGGCCGCUCGCCACGGUCCCGCUCACGCUCCCGUUCCUACGGCUACCGUCGCUCCGGUUCUCCUCGCUCCCCACCGCCUUACCGAGGUGGUGGUGGUGGUGGUGGUGGGGGCUGGGAAGGAGGAGACGGAGCUGAAGGAGGAGGAGGAGGGGGGUAUCGGCCCAGGUCUCGCUCCCCGGGGGGCUACAGGAGGAGCAGGAGUCCUGGAGGGGUUAGAGGUCACCAUAAGCCCCCACCUCGAGAGCCGGCUCCUUACGAGCCUAAAGGCGGACCUGACCUGUCUCCCGGGGGCAGGGAGCGCUGGGAGAGAGACAGCUACAGACAGUGGGAGAAAGAGUACAGGGACUGGUACAACAAGUACUACAAAGACUACAGUACCCAGCAUGCCUCGGUGCACCACCGCGGUGGCCGGGGCAGCAGAGAGAGGGACCGCCUCACCCCUCCUCCCAGAGACUACUCCCCCCAGGGGCGGGUGAGGAGGGGUGAGAGAGGGGGACCUCCCGGACCCCACAGAACUCACCACGCCUUGUCCGCUCUGCCCUCUGCCUCCGUCAGGGGGGGCGGAAGUAAGGAACGCACGCAGGGGGGAACCAAAACGUCAGAGGGCGGAACUAAAACUCUGAAAGGGAAGAAACUGAAGAAAAAGAAGAACGGGGAGGAGCUGGAUUCAGCCGACCAAUCGCUGGACAGGGGAGACGCCACACCCGUCAGGGACGAGCCAAUGGAUGAUCUCCACACCCUGACCCCUAGCAAAGCCCCACCCACCUCCACCAAGGUCUCGACCAAUAAGGCAGCGCUGCUGUCCGGUAAAACCCCUCCCACCUCGUCCGGCCAAUCAGAGAAGAGCAGGAAGGAGAAGGGGGGUAAGGUGAAAGUAAAGACGGAGGGAAAGGUGAAAGGAGAGAAGGUUAAGAGAAAGACGGGAGGAGAGGCGACGGUCACAGCCUCUAAGAACAAAGAGUCUUCAGCCGCUAAACCAACCAAAGCAUCCAAACCAGUCAAACCAGACGAGCCAAUCAAGAGAGAGAAGGGGCGGAGCACCCCUACUGUUCGAGGAGGUUUGGCUAAACUCCCCCUGCCCCGCCCCCUCCCACCUCACCCCCACGACCUCCCUAAACACCUGGGCGACGCCCGCGGGGGAAGGAGAGAUCCCAUUCACAGUGUCGGGGUACGCCCCCCUGGUCGCCCCCUCCAGCCUGCACCUCCCUCCCCAGCGGAGAAGAGGAGGAGAGUGGAAGAGAGGGAAAGGGGGAGGGGGAUGGACAGGGGGAUGGGGGGGCCCCCAGCUAAGCUCCGCCGAGCCGAGGGUCCGUACCUCCAGAGAGGACUUCCUGCCAAGCCUUCCCUCCUCCUGAACCUGGCAUGCAGAGAGUCGGGUAGAGGAGAGGGUCUGCUCCCCAUCCCUGGUUCCUCACAGACAGGGAGGCUAGACCGUUUCCAUCCCAUCUCCAUCUCCAUCCCUGGUUCCUCCAUGGACCUGGGGAGAGAGGGGAGAGGCGACGGGCUGCUGCCCAUCCCAGGGAGCUCUGAGGCGGGCAGAAGAGAGAGUGACAGGGGGUCUAUCUGGCCUCUCAUGGGUCUGCAGGUCAAACCCUUCCCCCAGAGGAGAAUCAAACUGAACAGAGACCUGGGGAGGAACAGCAGUAUGGCCCGCCCAGAGGAGAGACCAGCUCCAGCUGCUAAUAUCACCACUACUAUCACCUCUACUGGAGAGAGACCUGCUGGUCCUGAGAGAGCAGAGAGGGAUGGAGGGACAGAGAGGGUGGCGGUGAUGGUGGAGCGGAGGUUGUCUGGCGAGAGGUCAGAGGUCAGGUCUGUUAGGUCCGAGAGGCCGUCGUCAGGGGAACGUUUGCCGGAGAGAGGAGGAGGAGGAAGGUCAGUCUCUCUAGACCGCAUGACCAUCGCGGAACGCUCGGCCAUCGCUAAGAAACCUGAUGUCACCGGGGAGAGAACAGAGAGCGGGUACACGCCGCCCGCUGAGAGAGAGAGACCAGCUGAGAGCUCCAAGGAGAGAGGGAGACCAGCGUCAGCCAAGACGGACAGGUCAUCAUCCAGGGAGAAGUCAGCCACCAGGGAACAGAAAGGAGAGAAGACCUCGUCCUCCGUAGACAGACCUGCCUCUACAGGGGAGCGAGCGGCAGGGUCCCAGAGAGAGACUGUAGCUGAAGACAGAGCAAUAGCAACAGCAGUGGUGGUGGUGAAGGAGGGUUCUGGGAAGACCAGAAAGAUCAGCAGAAAGAGUUCUGAGCCCACGACCCACCACUCAUCAGACCACUCUGUCACUUCAACUGGCAGCAGCAGGUCUGAGCCGAGCCAGAGCCAGGGUGCUGUGUCAAAACCCCGGGACCUACAGACCCAGAGGAGACCCAGUCCCGUCCAGUUCCCCAGCCCAGGCAGGGAGAGGAGGGACCGUGGGACCGGAGGAGUCCUCAUCCAGCCUCCACCCCGGUCCAAGUGGGAGAGAGAGGAGGAGGAGGAAGAGGAGCAGCACUCAGCGUCCAGGGAGAAUGGGGCGUUGGCGGUUUCCUCCUCCGUGCCCAGAGACGCUCUGAGGAGAGAAGUCUCACCAGCACCGCCUAGUGGCCAAGGCAGGGAGGUGCAGGGUAGUGUCUCUAAAACAGCCAACACAGAGGGGAGGAGAGGGAGGGAGGAGGGGACUAGAAGGAGGGAGGAAGGCAGAGGCCUUAAAAAGGGUCAGGUGAACUUUAGAAAACCAGCUAAGACCGAAUCCAGAGGAGUGAAGGAGGAAGGAAGAGGAGGGGUAGGGAGGGAGGAGAGUCGAGGGGCGGGGCCAGAGCCAAGGCGACAGCGUCUGUGUUCCGACCUGGGUAGAGAGACGGACGAGGCAGCCUUCGUCCCCGACUACAGCGAAGGGGAGGGGUCAGACGGGGAGCGAGGCAGUGGCCUGAGCCAUAGCCCCUCACACAACACCCAGAGCCCCGCCUCCCAGAGCCCCGGCGGCUCCCCUAGCAACCACAGCGGCUCCACGGCGACGGACAAGAAGAAGAAGAAGAAACACAAGAAACAUAAAAAACACAAGAAGCACAAGAAGCAUUCUGCCGACGUUGAGCCUCCCGUCGAAGGAAGGAAGGAACACAAACACAAGAACAAGAAGAAGAAGCACAGGAAGAAUAAAGAGGAAGAGGGAGGAGGAGGAGAGGCAGAGGAGAAGACUGGGCAGGAGUCAGCCAACAUCUGA